Molecule: ribosomal RNA, 253 nt
Filed under: uncultured bacterium
Lineage: Bacteria
Description: partial 16S ribosomal RNA
Rfam family: Bacterial small subunit ribosomal RNA
Source: RNAcentral
UACAGAGACUGCAGGCGUUAUUCGGAUUCACUGGGCGUAAAGGGUGCGCAGGCGGCCGUGUGUGUCAGAUGUGAAAUCCCGGGGCUUAACUCCGGAACUGCGUCUGAAACUACACGGCUAGAGCAUUGGAGAGGGUAGUGGAAUUCACGGUGUAGCAGUGAAAUGCGUAGAUAUCGUGAGGAACACCAGAGGCGAAGGCGACUACCUGGACAAUUGCUGACGCUCAGGCACGAAAGCGUGGGGAGCAAACAGG